This 382-nucleotide ribosomal RNA is filed under the name uncultured bacterium. RNAcentral's name for it is "bacterial SSU rRNA". It matches the Rfam family "Bacterial small subunit ribosomal RNA", at positions 367 to 762 of the family's 1533-position model. The record is from RNAcentral.
CGCAAUGGGCGAAAGUCUGACGGAGCGACGCCGCGUGAUUGAUGAAGCUUUUCGGAGUGUAAAGAUCUUUUAUGAGGGAAGAAGUUUAUUGACGGUACCUCAUGAAUAAGGGGCUCCUAAUCUCGUGCCAGCAGGAGCGGUAAUACGAGAGCCCCGAGCGUUAUCCGGAAUUAUUGGGCGUAAAGGGUGCGUAGGUGGCGUUGUUAGUCGUUUGUCAAAUCUCUGGGCUUAACCUAGAAUCCGCGAACGAAACGGCAACGCUUGAGAGUGUGAGGGGUAUAGGGAACUCAUGGUGUAGGGGUGAAAUCCGUUGAUAUCAUGGGGAACACCAAAAGCGAAAGCACUAUACUGGCACAUAUCUGACACUCAAGCACGAAAGCGU